Molecule: long non-coding RNA, 361 nt
Organism: Mauremys reevesii (Reeves's turtle)
Lineage: Eukaryota; Metazoa; Chordata; Testudines; Geoemydidae
Exons: 3
Source: RefSeq, a predicted model, not a curated record
GGAAAGAAAGAGCAAGAGUCACAUCUGGCACCAAACAAGCUGCAGACGAGUUUGAGUAGGCACAUUCUGUCUGUAUGCCAUCCUCUACCAUUUGGGUAUAGCUGGCUGUGCAGGCAAUGGGAAGAGAAGUCAUCAGCUGGGCAGCAGAUAGACUAUUUUUGGGAGAAGAGACACCAGCACUGGAAGAUGUAUAAAUAGAUCUAGUAAAAUCGAAGCAGAAGGACUCACAGCAGAUCACAUUUGAGGACACCAGAAAAGAAACUAAUUAGCAGAAGAAGUUUUACAUUGUUCCUCUUGUGUGAGCAGCAAAUAAAUGCCUGGAAUACUCCCUCUCAGCUAUUUUCUAGAAGAGAUGAUUGAA